UGAUGAGGGGCAUGGCCUAGAGUGG
Molecule: non-coding RNA, 25 nt
Filed under: Mus musculus (house mouse)
Lineage: Eukaryota; Metazoa; Chordata; Mammalia; Rodentia; Muridae
Source: RNAcentral